Oreochromis aureus is the source of this 4283-nucleotide long non-coding RNA. RefSeq lists it as uncharacterized. NCBI's taxonomy places the organism in Eukaryota, Metazoa, Chordata, Actinopteri, Cichliformes, Cichlidae. The transcript has 3 exons. The record is from RefSeq and is a predicted model, not a curated record.
UGCUGCGCUGCCUGCAGACGCUGUGUGUUCCAGACGGUGAUUGUACAGGCUUCUUGUUUUCACUGUCUCUGUCUUGCUACUCUGCUGUUGCUCAUUUCAUUUCUCACUUUGCUUAAUUUUUCCGCCUGUUAUCAUGUUAUUGUGAUAUUGCUAAUGUUUUAGAAAGUAGAAAAGAUAAUACGGAGCAGAAUGAGGGCAAGCAAACACAAUCUUCCUUUCAGGUCCCGUGUGGGCAACGAUUAAUUAACGUGUCAAGAAAUAUAAACAGUGCACAUUAAAAAACACCAUGAAGGUCCAAUUAAAAGUCUGAUUAUAAUUUUGAUGCCAGUUACAAAACCGUGGACUCUUUUUUUGUUGUUUGGUCACAGUCCACUGAAAUUAUUUGGAAAAUCAGCCACAUCCCCUCUACUGAGUAACAGACACAAAAGAAAAUUACCACUGUAGCUUGGAAAAAACAUACCAUCUUUGCAGUGUUGGCACCAAAACAAAUUAACCCUAAGGGUUUUGGAGGGCCAAUGUGUGAGCAGAAUACUAACAAAAUCCACAAUAUUCUGGGCUUACAGCAGGUUAAAGCUGAACUGUGGGCAACAGAGUAGAUCAUCCCCAUGUGGAUAGAGGGAUAUACAUAAACUAUCUGAAGUACAAGAAGUAAUCUGACCUGUAAAUCUGAGUCGCCUGAUGCAUUCUUCCAUACCAGGCUUAUCACAUCCAAAACAACUGGCGUUUAUGAAGGUUCUCUUCCUCUAACUUUAAGUCGCCACAGGUCCGUGUAAUCCACACACGCACUCACACGCAUACGCACAAACACACGCUUUUACUCACCCCCACGCAUUAGUCUAAUCUCCUGUUCGUACCUGCCAAUAUGACUCACUGAAAAUGGAUCAGGGAAUGAGGGACUUUCUUAUUUCCUCAGUGCCAGUCCAAUAAAAAACACUUCACAGCAAUAGACACAUACGCCCACACACACACGGCUCAGUGAGUCAAAUGGUUAUCCAUUUUUAAUGACAUAUGGACAGCUUGACCUAGUAUUGCUGAGCUCUGUCUCCGGGGUCGGUGUGUGUGGUGUUUUGUAGAGGCAGAGGCAGGCUGGGGACAAACUAGUGUGUGUGGAUGUCUAGUCCUGCAAAAUCGUUUUUCGUGUGUGCACCCUAAAUAUAGUUUGCAUGUGGGUGAAGUGAUUAACAUUUUGUAAUGUUUUGCAAUCAGUCACACCACACAGGUCAACAUUGAUGAUUGUCUGACUUAAUAAUCUCACCUGUGCAUAUUUCCCUCCCUGUCUGUUUGCUAGCAGUCUAGCGUCCACAGUUUUUAAGAUAUCAUUUUCAAAUUUUGUGUGAUGGUAGAUACCAAUGACAACUCGAGUGAAAACUGGGGUCAAGGUCAAUUCCACACCAGAUUUGAAAAUCAGUAAAAAUGUUGUAUUAUACCCAAUUUUUCAUGGAUUGUCUUCAAACAUCACAACAAUAUACUAGACCUUGUGUGACAUCAUACUGUAAUUAAAACAGGCUGACGUCAGCAUGUGGUAAUAAAUACAUCAUAAAGCAUCAAAGGUUUAUUAUAGCUCUCACUCUUUGGGGGGAGUUGCCCUCUCUGAGUGCUGUUGUUGGGUUUUUCUCUCUAAUACUAUAGGAUCUUUACCAUAUAAUAUUAAGCGCCUUGAGACAACUGUUGUUAUGAAUAGCUUCUAUAUAAAUUAAACUAUAUAAAGUAUAUGUUUUUGGAGCAGGUUGCUGGUAGCAAAGUGCCUAAAGAUUCAAUUUCAAAUAGUUUUUUUUUCCUAAGUUGUUUGUUGUCUGUGUAGCAAUAACAGUGGUUCAUCCCUUUUGUUAGGUGCAUGUUUUAUGCUUAAUAAAAGCUUAAGAUAAACUUAAAAAAAUCACAAGUGGAGUGGAGUACAGUGGAAAGGUGCUUGAAACACAUCCAGACAGUUGUAUAUGCACUUUCAUAGCAGUAUUAGUCAUUCAACCAUGCACUCACACCACAUACUUUUCUCUCUGUGCCCUCGGUGUGACCUUGGCUUCUAUCCUCCCUCUGGGUCAGCAUUCAUCUGUCUCAAACUCUCUCUGUGAGUGUGACAGAAAGGUCACCCAUAGAAAAAAGGCUUACAAAUUUUUAAUUCACUAUAAUUACUCAUUACAUGUGUACAUUUAUUGUCAGCAGUCCGGGACUAAGCACAGUAUUGUCUUCUAAUCUUUUUUCUUCAAUUCUCCCAGUUAAACAAUGAGUCAUCUAUUGCAGCAUAUAUUGUCUCUGGGGUAUUUUUAAUUUAUUGUUUCUCAUUGUUUUCAUUGUGCAACACCAAUGUGUGUGCUAUUUGAGCAAACCGAAGCCCUAACACAAUCAGACAUCAUCAUUUUAAUAUGAAACGCACACGAGUUCCUGCAGUAUUUAUAGUGGUAGUUAUUAGACAUGAAACAAAAACUAGUAGCAGUGGGAACCUUUAAACUUUCAGUUUUCAUUAGAUAAUUUUAAUGUAGCGGUACUGGGUAUUUAAGCUAUUCUGACAACGUUCCCAAAGAAUUAGAUGAAUUAAAUUUUUUUUGAAUGGGCUCCCUUUUCAUGUGCAUGUCAUCUGAAUGAACGGAGAAAGGUCAGAAUAUAUUCACAACCAUUAAACACACAAAGACUAACAAACUUGUACAUUAAAUCUAGAUCACAGAACCGUGUAUGAGGAUGAAACUGUUGUGUGCAGAGCACAAAGUUAUCUGACUGUUCGGACUCCUGGUUUACCCAGAAAAAGGAAACGGACACGUUAUUUACACACAGAUUGACUGUGCAUGCAUGUGUCUGUGUGUAAGCCUCAGAAAAAUAUGACUCACUGUUGUCAUGGGGAAAGAAGAGCAGUGAGACUGAGGAGAGAUUUACUGAACCAUGUAAAACACACACAUCAGACACAUGCGUGCAGUAAUGCACAACGUGAAUCAAGUACAUUAAUGAAACUGCAGCACCUAUAAAUCCCCACACGCUUCUGUAGCAAGGUAAAUGUGCACACACAUGUAAAUGAAUAACAUCAAUUUCGAAAGGAAAAAGAAAAUAUGAAUUUAAAGAGAGAAUAUUCACAGCCCUGUAAACACCCUCGCUCACAUCGACACACGCUGAGAAUCUGUACCCGGUUAUUUGGAAUAACAGUGCUGAGAUCACAGACACAGAUGCGCUCACCAGAAACUAAACAAACCAAGCUAAUAUGCACACACACAUGCAAGACCAUCCAGACAUCCCUUUCCCCUUUCAUGUCUGACCUGCAUGUAUGAACACAGCAUAGUUCACAGUGAUUAAAAAAAGAAUUUCCUUAGCAUGACACCUCAUAAAAACUCCCAUGCAGAGUGGAGGAACUAGUUACCUCAUUAGUCUGGGCUGCCAGUCAAAGGCACUGCAGAAUAUCCACAGUAAUUCCACUUUAGUGGGGCUUUGCGGCCCCUUAUAUAAAUGAAAAGGUCUAUAAUGAUCCUUCUGGUGUAUGAGGAGUAUAUGUCAUUAUCCUAUAAAACAGCGGUCCCCAACCGGUAUCGGUCGGUGGGUUUGGUUGGUCCACAAGAGUUAAGGCUCGGGUGUGAAAUUUAUGGUUUUCAGGGUUUUUAUCGUUUUUUUGCGUUAUUUUUUUAAAAUAAUUUUUAUCGUUAACUCGGUUUCCCUGGGUCUUUUCCACUGUAUGAAUAAAUCUUCGGUUUUUUGGUACUGGUACUGGUUUUAUAUUGUUUUAUUUAUCCGCAACACCUUAAAGGCUGGUCUGUGAAAAUACUGUUGGACAUACCAGUCCGUAGCGCAAAAAAGGUUGGGGACCACUGCUAUAAAAGACCGAAAAUAACAGAUGAACUGCAUUAUCAUUUCGAUAAAGAAAAAGUUUGUCAAUGACUUGCUGUAGUUGCUCACCUGCAUUCUGAUCAACUACAAUCUGCCUAAUACUGAAAGAGCAGUAGCCAUAUUCAUAAAAGGGCAAAAGUGCCCAUUGAAUGACAGAUAUGACCUUGAACAUCAGGAUGGUUAGAGUGAAGAUUAAGUGAUCAUUGGAUUUAAUUGUAAGUUCUUGAGGAGUAAUUCUCAUGGACUGUAGGUGGAUGGACCAAUGGCUUCCUAUCAAAUAAGCUCACGAGACCUUACAGGAGCUAAAGGAUGAGCUGAAAAUGUCUAAUUCAUUUUCUGUCAAAAAGAAGUAAUUCUUAAACCUUAUUUUAUGAACCUUUGGCCUUUUGGAUGGCAUUACCUUGGCCUCCAGUAAUGCUGUGAGGAACCUUGGAGUCAUUUUUGACCAGGACAUGUCCUUCAACGCACAUAUUAAACAAAUA